Molecule: transfer RNA, 85 nt
Filed under: Felis catus (domestic cat)
Lineage: Eukaryota; Metazoa; Chordata; Mammalia; Carnivora; Felidae
Rfam family: tRNA
About the family: Transfer RNA (tRNA) molecules are approximately 80 nucleotides in length. Their secondary structure includes four short double-helical elements and three loops (D, anti-codon, and T loops). Further hydrogen bonds mediate the characteristic L-shaped molecular structure. tRNAs have two regions of fundamental functional importance: the anti-codon, which is responsible for specific mRNA codon recognition, and the 3' end, to which the tRNAs corresponding amino acid is attached (by aminoacyl-tRNA synthetases). tRNAs cope with the degeneracy of the genetic code in two manners: having more than one tRNA (with a specific anti-codon) for a particular amino acid; and 'wobble' base-pairing, i.e. permitting non-standard base-pairing at the 3rd anti-codon position.
Source: Rfam by way of RNAcentral
GUCUGGGUGGCUCAGUUGGUUAAGCAUCCGACUUCAGCUCGGGUCAUGAUCUCACCAUUCGUGGGUUCGAAUCCCGUGUCAGGCU